GCUAUAGAGCGGUCAAAAUCCCCAAUGCUUGGUUGGAAGCAAGGUGCGUAGCCUCUUCAGCAGUAGGAGUUGGAGUAAUAGGUUCUGAAAGAAGGGAACAAGAGUGAGACUUUCUUCCCACUCCCAUACUCCUCUAAGAGUCUCUCUCCUUUAAUCAAUUACAUCAAACCAAAGGCUAUAUACUCAAAUGGAGUGAGUUCUGGCGUUCAGGUAAUCCUCUCGUGGAGCACUUUACCAGUUGAUCAACCAGAUUUGGGCUUUAUGUGUAAAAAAGAGAAGUUCUCACCAACAGCAGAAAGAUACCAAGCAGCAGAUACGGGUUUAGCGAGAACAGCUAGCUUUAUCGGAAGGAGCUGAAUCCACAUCUGCUAUAGCUAAAAUACCUGUUUCUAACCCAUGUGGUUUUACUUAACUUGAGGCCAAAAUGCUUAAUUUGAGCAUCUUUGUUUAGAGAGUUGGGUAUUUGAGUUAAGCAUAUAACUAAAAGGAUGCCAACCCUGAUUUGCUUGUUUCCCUUGUUUCUGAGCCCAAAGCCCUUGCUUCGGGUUGGGUUUGGCUCUCUAGAUAGGGGUACAUUAGACAUCAAAGUUUUAUAGCAAAAAUCUUACUUUCUGACCCCACCUGUACUUUGCCCAAUUGGAAGAGGAAAGCACUUUCCUACUCUGGUUGAAAAGAUUUGGUUGAGAAGCCUAUCUAGGCAAGGUAAAGAACUAGACUUCUGCACUGAACCUCAAAGACUCAAUUACCGUAUAAGAUAUGGCCAAAGAACAUCAAUUACCCUUUAAGUAAGAUAUGGCCUUUUCGAACUAUCUCAUUAGCUUACCUAGAGUAGCCCUAUUUCUGUAAGUAGCGAAUGAACAAUAUUUAGUGGGAUAAAGGUAAUCUUUAUUAGCGAAUCAAUAGCCAAAGGUACAGCUUGCAUGAAGAAGGCCCUUCGUUCCUCAAUUUGAUCUGGUCUAGCAUAGGAUAGAGCUCUUACUGUACCAAUUUUUCAUUCCUAUUCUAUUAACCUAACGUAACCCCUUAGCGGCUAAAAAGAAAAAGGGAGAUUCCUGAGUUAAAACGUUUUUCCAUUACUACCUUCGGGGUCUCAGUCCUUCUUCGUUGAAGGUUUAUUACCCAGGGAAAUUCCUUCUUGUUUCAACUUUAGGUUCUGGAAUAACUAGCCCAACCCAUAGACCAUCACAGAUGGAAUAACGACUGAUCCCUAUACCUAAUAAAAGGAUAGAAAGAAUUAAUCGUUCUA
This 1246-nucleotide long non-coding RNA is filed under the name Gossypium barbadense (sea-island cotton). RNAcentral's name for it is "long non-coding RNA (GBAR_LNC011478)". The record is from RNAcentral. Lineage: Eukaryota; Viridiplantae; Streptophyta; Magnoliopsida; Malvales; Malvaceae.